UGAGGAAUAUUGGUCAAUGGGCGGGAGCCUGAACCAGCCAAGCCGCGUGAGGGAGGAAGGCCCUAUGGGUCGUAAACCUCUUUUGUCAGGGAACAAAAGCGAGUAUGUAUACUAGUCUGAGUGUACCUGAAGAAAAAGCAUCGGCUAACUCCGUGCCAGCAGCCGCGGUAAUACGGAGGAUGCGAGCGUUAUCCGGAUUUAUUGGGUUUAAAGGGUGCGUAGACGGCGGUGCAAGUCAGCGGUAAAAGCCCGGGGCUCAACCCCGGCGAGCCGUUGAAACUGCAGUGCUAGAGAAGGCGAGAGGUACGCGGAAUGCGCAGUGUAGCGGUGAAAUGCUUAGAUAUUGCGCAGAACUCCGAUUGCGAAGGCAGCGUACUGGCGCCUGACUGACGCUGAGGCACGAAAGCGUGGGGAUCGAACAGGAUUAGAUACCC
This 434-nucleotide ribosomal RNA is filed under the name uncultured bacterium. RNAcentral's name for it is "bacterial SSU rRNA". It matches the Rfam family "Bacterial small subunit ribosomal RNA", at positions 355 to 787 of the family's 1533-position model. The record is from RNAcentral.